GUGUAGGUUUCUGGUUCUCAAACUGCCGGACAUUAACAUCUGUCUGCGGACUGUGAGAAUGCGGACCUCCCCAGGUCCAAGGAAAUUCUGAAUCCGUAGGUCUGAAGGGAGAUCAAGAAUCAGACUUAUUUUACUCAUCUGGAUUGUUCCAAGGCCCGUGAGUAGGGAAAUGCUUCUUCCAGUCCCUCCCCCACGGAUCCCACCCUUGGACUCUUGGAUCCAAGUACACUUUUAAAGCUACGAGUUGCCCCCUGGAAGGAAAACGCCCGCCACGGACUUGGUCCGCCCAGAAGAAAAACUGAGACUAAGGAUUCAGGAUUCAAAACCCGCCGAGAUUCUGCCGCGUUCAGGGAGGAAACUUCUUUAGAUCCAAAGUGACUUCCUGAGAUAAGACGACAGCAGAACCAAAAAUAAAUAAAAUAAGACGCCAGCAGAGUCCGCGGUUUACAUACACGCCCUGGGCCAUACCCUCGGCAUAGGAAAGUUCCGGAGCUACAGUGCCUGGCCUACGCCCCAGCUACAGCAACCAGAGGUCGAACUGUGUCUGCAAACUGCACCACAGCUCAAGGCAAAGCCGGAUUGCUAACCCACUGAGCAAGGCCAGGGAUCGAACCUGUGUCCUCAGGAAUACUUGUUGGGUUCAUUAACCACUGAGCCAAGAGGGGAACUCCAAUAAGGAAAUUUUAACACCAAUGCUAAGUGCAACUUGCACAAGUGCUUUGUGGACAUAUAUGUAGACCAUCAGCUACAUAUAUGUGGAUCAGGGAACCACAAGAAAAUGCAUAAAAGAGACAACAUGUGCGCUGCAUGUUGAGGUAUAAGUAGGAGUCCAAAGGACAAAUGAACAUGACUCAGAAGUCAUAGCUACUAGAUAGUGAGACUUGAGAGAGGGAGGGAGAAAGAGCUGAUCUGAACAGCAAAAUUCUACUAGACUGCUUGUUAAAAUGCAAAGGGCUGGGCCUCCACCCCUGGAGUUUCUCAUUUGGUCUAGAGUAGGGCCUGAAAACUGCAUUCCAGUGAUGCCGGUGCAGCCUGUCCAGGGUCCACACUUUGAAAACUACAUUAGAACCACUUUCUUAGAGAAAAGGUGAGGGUUUAUCGGUGUGGUUUGGUUUCUAAUAUUGGAAAAGAGCUAUGAGACAGAGGUGUAAGAUGGACCAGACCACACCGGACCCACCCUGGAACCCCCACCCCCCCCCACCCCAGGGAUCCAGUGUUUGAUGGCCUUGGGGGUCACAGGAGUGGCAGACAGGCAGGUAGGAACCAGAUGUGGGGGUCAGAGCAUGAUCCAGAGGCAGUUCUCUACACCCAACACCUGGGGCUGCUGCAGCUCCACACAGUGGCUCCUACAUGCUCAGGUAUUUCCUCAUCCCACACGGCCGCCAAGCCCUGCUCUGCUACACCGGAGCUGUUUGGCCCUAUUAUGUGAGCAGAGAAGCUCUGAUCACACUUUCUGAUCCAAAGAUAGGGUGACAUAAUCUGACGGGCAUGAUAGGGAUAACAUAUGCCUUCAAUCAGAUGGAAAUAGUAUUUAUUUUCUAAUUAUUUAAUAAUUACAUAAUUUGAUAAAUAAUUAGAUAAAUAAAUAAUAAAUAAUUAGAGAAAUAAAUUUAUUUCUCUAAUUAUUGAGCCUUUGAGCCCACAUGAAGACGCUAGAGGGUGUCCUGAGAUUGCUGCAGCUGCAAGCAUUGUGUCCAACCACCCGAAGAAUGAACGCCUUGUAGAUUAGACUUUCCUGCCCAAUUCAAAAUGUGGCUGAUUUCUUUGACCAAACAAAUUGCAUUUGUGGAUUAAUCAUGUCCUUAUUUAAUGUAAUUUAUUUGUUUUUUUUGGCUGCACCUGCAAUAUGUGCAAGUUCCUGGGCCAGGGAUCGAAUCUGCACCACAGCAGUGAUCCAAGCCACUGCAGUGACAACAUGGAAUCCUUAACCCACUGCACCACAAGGAAGCUCCCUCAUUUUACCUAUCAAUGAAUGAAAAACAGAUAUGUAAAGAAAGAAAAUGCAACUAAAUAAAACCCCAACAUACUGAAUUUAAAUGGUAAUAAAUAUCCUUCUUCAAGGAGAGAUACAUAUAUAUAAGC
This 2082-nucleotide long non-coding RNA is filed under the name Sus scrofa (pig). RNAcentral describes it as "lncRNA (ENSSSCG00025077763.1, ENSSSCG00055030199.1, ENSSSCG00060037744.1)". The record is from RNAcentral. Lineage: Eukaryota; Metazoa; Chordata; Mammalia; Artiodactyla; Suidae.